Molecule: microRNA, 22 nt
Filed under: Mus musculus (house mouse)
Lineage: Eukaryota; Metazoa; Chordata; Mammalia; Rodentia; Muridae
Description: mmu-miR-7030-5p
Source: miRBase by way of RNAcentral
UGGGGAGGUGGCUGUGCUAGUC